UACGGAGGAUCCAAGCGUUAUCCGGAUUUAUUGGGUUUAAAGGGUGCGUAGGCGGCUUAUUAAGUCAGAGGUGAAAGACGGUGGCUCAACCAUCGCAGUGCCUUUGAUACUGAUGAGCUUGAAUAGACCUGAGGUAGGCGGAAUGUGACAAGUAGCGGUGAAAAUGCAUAGAUAUGUCACAGAACACCAAUUGCGAAGGCAGCUUACUAAAGUCUUAUUGACGCUGAGGCACGAAAGCGUGGGGAUCAAACAGG
This 254-nucleotide ribosomal RNA is filed under the name uncultured bacterium. Its description in RNAcentral is "partial 16S ribosomal RNA". It matches the Rfam family "Bacterial small subunit ribosomal RNA", at positions 524 to 776 of the family's 1533-position model. The record is from RNAcentral.